RNAcentral lists this long non-coding RNA (1519 nucleotides) under Marmota monax (woodchuck). Lineage: Eukaryota; Metazoa; Chordata; Mammalia; Rodentia; Sciuridae. The record is from RNAcentral.
GUUAAAUCCCCAGUAUACCCACCCCCUCCCACAGCAAAAAAAGGAUUUUGACAGGUAGAGAUAGAAAAGUGUACAAAGCACAGAGGUAGGUCAGUAAGGCAAGAGUGUGAGUACAUUAAAUAACAGAAGAUGUACUGCUGGCUGCUAUAACAUCCCUCAAUGGUUCCAUUCUGGAUAUAAGGGGACUGUCUCUCCAACUCUUGAGAGAGUUGGGCUAAAGUUCUCAUCUGCUGGGGGAGCAGGGUAUGUGCAGGAGAGGGCAAGACCAGUAGAGAAGCAGCAGAAAGCUAAGGAUGGAGGCUGAAUCCCUAAAACUCAAUCUUCUCAGAUCAAUAUAACAAAGCAAACACCUGCUAACCAUGAGAUUGCUGUAGAGAGUAUCCCAGAAACCCCAACCAGCUUCAGGACACAGAAUCCCCAUGAUGAUUACACAGCAUUACACAGCCACCACUAGGUGGUGCCAAACCCAAGUUCAGACCUGGAUAGAUCAGACAGGUGCAGCUGGAUCCUGAGACCUCCAGACUGGCUGGCUGUGUCAGCUGGCUCUCAGGAACUUCACAACAGUGUAAUCACAUGGCUUAUAACAGUGGCUCUCAAAAGUGUGGUCCUCAUACCAUUAGCAGCACCCUGUACCUGCUAGAAAUGCAGAUUCUCAGGCCCUACCUGGACCCACUGAGCCAGAAACCCUGGGGGCAGGGCCCAGUAAUCCGUGCUUCAACAAGCUCUCCAGGAUGCAUGCUAAAGUUGAGAACCCCUGCCUGAUGCAUGUGAAUGUCUGGACUCCAUUUCUAAUGGUAUGGCAGGGUUUCAUCAAACCACUGUCUUUGGACAAAUCAGUCCCAUCUUUAAGGGCCAAUAAAAUGAGAAAAGAGGUAGUUGGAAAAGAAUGAGCUAUCAUCAAGGUCCCUGCAGAUGUAACAUACUAUAUUUUGUCAGUUCACUAAUAGGGGAGAUGUUUACAAUUUUCCUGUUCAAAUGGAUUGGUGUUGUUGGCCUUCAUGGCUCUUGUUGAAAGCGUUCAGUGUGGUGUAUCUGAAUUCUAAUGGCUAAUUUACAAACACCAUACCUACCCAUGAUUCAGCUUCCCAAGCUAGUAAUAUUGAUGCCGUAUAAGUAAUCCCAAUGGAACAGGGGUCAAAACACAGGUUUUGUAGGAAUAAACCCAACAAGAGUGCCUGCAAUGUAUUUCUUGUCUCUGUCAUGGUAACACAACCAGAACAAGAUCUUCCAUCAAAUUGAAAUUCUAAACACAGGCAGCCAGAAUUGAUUUAAAUGAUUAAAUCCUAGAACAACAACUUUCAAAUAAACCUCUCAUCCAGAACCUACUUAAAAGACUUAAUAAUGACAGUCAAUGCUUAAAGGUAAAUCAAAUAUGUAAGCAAUCUCUGCUUUGCAAAUCAGCAGUCUAAAACUUGGAGAUAUACAAGCUGGGGGAAAAAAUGAGCUAUGCCUCAAGAAAUCAGACUCAGGAUGGACGAUGAAGUUAAAAAAUAAUCAGCCAUCUGUUUGCCGUGCUGCC